Molecule: non-coding RNA, 2468 nt
Organism: Gasterosteus aculeatus aculeatus (three-spined stickleback)
Lineage: Eukaryota; Metazoa; Chordata; Actinopteri; Perciformes; Gasterosteidae
Source: RefSeq, a predicted model, not a curated record
ACUCACUCAAACAAACACUUUCUGCCAGUCUGCCACCACAGUUAGCAACAGUACACGUUUUGCCUCCCUCAUUUCUCCAAGCCAGUCGCUCUGCACUGCGGCAGGCAUGGGAAGCAGACACACACUCACACACACACUCUUCUCUACUCCACUCCCAUAUUUUUUGGAAGGGAACAGACGAGGAGCGAGAAAAAUCAAGAGAGCACGGCAUUUUUCGUAUUUUCAUAACGGAGCUGCUUUAAAAUCCAGUAGAAACGUUUUUCUGUCUUGUGACAAAACUUGUUUCAAAGAGAUUUGGAGUAUCGGCACUACAAACGGAAUAUGCACAACUCGACCUACCAGCCCCCCCAAAACAAGGAAAUUUGGACCUAUGUGAAGGACUUUUGAAAGCGUGCGUAAAUGCAAUGUUUGAAGAGGCUUUUUUGGGAUGUUGUUAAGAAGGUUUCUCCAUGCUCUUCCUUUCUCUGGCCUCUGGGUCUCUGACCAUCCUCUCCAUGCUAUUGCUGAUAAAGCAAUGGAAAUUACCAUCUCUCCAUCUCUCACUCCAGGACAUAGAUGCAGCCGGGCCUUGCAAUUUUGCAGAUUACGCUCUAUCCAUAUGCAAGAUAAAUGAAAUCCAGUACAGCGGUAUUCAGCUGGUGGAGCUGUCCAGCAACCGGCACCCAGCCCGGAGAAAUCCCUGCCCCAGUAGAGGAGAAGAAGAGACUGAGGACGGAUCGAUGAAUGAAGGAAAGAGAGAGAGAGAGAGCUUCCAGACUGCGUGACCUACAUUCAACACUGUCUGGAGUCAAAAACAGAGUGAGAGGGAGAGGGAGAGAGAGAGAGAGAGAGAGAGCAAGAGAGCCAGCCCAAACAGAAAGCGGGAGGAUGAGACAGCAGGAAAGAAAGAGUAAGUCAGCAGAAUUGAGAGAUUCAAAGAGGAACUGAGAGGAGUAGAGGCAGAAAGAGGAAGCUGAUCCUUGGCCAAGAUCAUCCAUUUCUCACUCUGUUCGUCCUGCUCUUUUGCGCCGCUCCUUUUUCCAUAAUCCAGUCUCAUUCUACCUGAUAAUGUGCUGCUUUCUCCUCCCCAUCUAUCACCAUUAAUCAUCCAUUGUCUGAGGUGUCUCGGGGAAUGCAGCUGCCUGCAGUGCAACGCCAGUCUGGGGAGCACAAACGGGCAGAGAAAUAAUCAUCACUUUUCACACUUUUGUUGUUUUUUUUCCCCGGGCUCUUCAUGCUCCUCUACAAGCUCUGUUCCCUUUGUCUCUUCAUCUCUCCUCCGCUUGUCCCCGACACCCCCACCACCCCCCUCCUUCCUUCUGUGCACCCCAUUCUUUAACCCUCUUUCCUUCAAGCCAAAGCACCGCACAACCCCUCAACAUCCACAUUUAUCUCCUUCCUCCUUCUCCUCCUCUGUCAGCAUAUAUCUAUCUGUGCUCCAACAGUAUUUGUAUGGUGGAUCGCUUUGUCCGGCUGAUGCUGUUAUCAAGAACAGCAGCAGCGGCUCUGACUGUGCGUGAGCCUGUCUGAUGAGCUUGGCUUCGAAUCUAUCUGAUUGCCUCCGGAUGGAAAGCUGCCUCUCUGAAAGCAGAUUGAUGAAUGGCGAAUUGACUUGACUCGUAUAGCGCCUUUAGUCUUCCCACCACUCAGAGCUACACGACACUUCAUGUCAUCCACCUAUUCGCGCCGCUUACCUACCAACGUGUCGCCUGCUCAUCAGGACUAACUACUCCCACCCAGUCACACAGCGGCGGUACAGCAGCAGUGGAUCAAACCAGAGAAACGAGGGACAACCUGCUCUCUCUAAUGUCUGUCAAUGACGCUGCUCAACACGUCCCCCAACAGAGGGCCCUUUGCAUAGGAGAAGUGUGGUUCUGAAUGCAGCUUUUAGAGACCAACUCUCUGAAACUUCAUUAGUAUCUCCAGAACACAACUUGCUGGGCUGCUCUGGAUCCCAGGUACAGCGUCCAGGACAAGACCAGCAGUUUGAUCCGCUGGAUCUUCUAGUGCACGUGGAUGUACGCUUGGGCAAGACACCCCAAAUGGCGAAGCUGUGCCGAAGGAUUCAUUGGUCCUGAUGGAUUGGUGGCACCUUGUCACUCCUUGCCACUAGUGUAUGAAUGGGUACUCGCUACCGGCCCUGUUUCGACAACGAAUCCAUGUACAAUCCAACAGGGAAGAGAGUCGGUCUAUCGAUCCAAAGAAUGGGAGGCAUCAAAAGAUCCUUAGGAGCAGGAGCUGAAAGGAGCAGCGAUGGCGAAGAAUCAGGAAGCAACCAAUUCGGAAGGAGACUACCAGACAUGAGAGGAAUACUUUUUCCAAUUGGACCAUGUGUAGAUCGGUCACCUCCACUGUUUACCGUGGGAAUAAAUAUCAGUACAAAUAGGGGAAGAACUCUGGUAUUCCAAUUGCAUGGCAUCACUUUGAUCCUCAUUUGAUCAGAUUAAAUGUCAAUGUAAACCCCAAACAAAUGUUUGUCUUUGUUAUUG